This is a long non-coding RNA of Callithrix jacchus (white-tufted-ear marmoset), 2046 nucleotides long. The record is from Ensembl. NCBI's taxonomy places the organism in Eukaryota, Metazoa, Chordata, Mammalia, Primates, Cebidae.
UAUUUUCAUCUCCAGAUUCUGAGGGGGAAUGACACUGAGAUGGACACAACUCUGACGUGAGGCUGAAGACUGUCUCCUCUUCUUCCUCUGCUUUCACAUGUAUCUCUUUUUUUUUUUUUUGUCACAGCCAGAGCUGCCAGCCUGCCUUCCAUGUAUCAUCAGUUCAGUUGUGUGAAGAAAUCAUUGGCUUGAUCAGCUUCAUUUUAGAAGCUUUCUGAUAUCCUGGGAUUUUAUUUUAAUGUUGUUUCCUGAGCUUUUGGAAUCCUGACAAGUAGAGAGAAUUGAAGGUAAUUCCCUGAGAAAAGCAUGUCUAGGAUACUGCUGGGGACUUUGCUUCUUCAAGAGGUGGUGAGCAUUGGUGCUAUUGAAGCCUCCUGGAAAUGAUUCUUCUCUUGACAGACUAUCCCAUCCCUUGCUUUUCAAAGACACCAUCAUGUGGGAAAUGUGAAUCUUUUACUCAUCUCUUCAAGACUCCCAAAGACAGAGAUGAGCCUUCUGUUUCCAGUGAUCGUGGGGCCCCCAGAUGAAGCCAGCCUCAAGAUAAUAAGUCAGAUGAUCGUUUCACCUUCAGGAAAUCAUUUCACCAAGGCUGCUUCCCCAUUUGAAGAACAAAAACCAGCCAUGAUGUCUAGUUUGUGACUUCCAUUGAAGGAUCCUAUGUGAAUCCCAUCCAGACAAUGCCUAAUAUGAAGUAGAUGCUCAGUAUGUAUUUAUGACAAGAAAUUCAGGCUGAGAUCUUUCCUCAAGGCACCUCUCAAUAGUUUUCCUUUCAUAUGCAGAGUAAUAUAUUUCCCCCAAACCUAUAACUGAACACCCUUCACUUUAGCUAUUAAUCAGAGGACCCUCUGGUUGCCAGGAUCUAGUCCUUUGAGUGGCUGACAGUUGGAAGUUGGAGGUGGACGGUUAAUAAGUGAUUUUUUCUUUUCACAUGUAUUUGUUUCCCUGUCAGAGAGUAAAAUAAUUUUGCAACAGGCAGCUCAGGAAAGGGGAGUCAUUGAGGCACAGGAAGAAAAUGGAAGCCCAUCUUUGCUUUUUUUCUACUGCUACAAAAAAGCUUGUUGGUCUUCAUUGGUCCAGGUUUUCUGCUCUGGGUGACCUCUGGGACAACACAGUUAAACUCUUGAACUUCCUACUGCCUCUUUCGUUCUUUUUGUAAUAACCCUAGAUGCAUUCUUAGUAGGAAACACCUCAUUUACCAUAUGAUGACUGUAUAAUUAUUUUUAUUUUAGUUUAUUUACUUUCUACCAGAAGGAGUAUAGCAGCUAAAGAAAUGCCUGUUUUGGCCAGGUGUGAUGGCUCACGCCUGUAAUCCCAGCACUUUGGGAGGUCAAGGUGGGAAGAACACUUGAGGUCAGGAGUUCAAGACCAGCCUGGCAAACAUGGCAAAGCCCCGUCUCUACUAAAAAUAUAAAAAUUAGCUAGACAUGGUGGCAUGUGCCUGUAAUCCCAGCUACUUGGGAGGCUGAGGCAGGAGAAUCGCUUGAACCCAGGAGGCGGAGGUUGCAGUGAACUGAGAUCGUGCCACUGUACCCCAGCCUGGGAGACAGAGUGAGACUUCGUCUCAAAAAAAAAAAAAAAAAAAAAAAAAUGCCCUUUUCUCCCCCUGUCCUCACAACAGGAAUACAUUUAGUUAACUAUUUGAGAAUCAUAACUGUAAAUGUUGCUGAAACACGCAUCUAUCACUAAGAAAUAUCACUGCACAGAGUGCAAAAUAUAUGACUUACAUUGCUGUAUAAUCACAUAAGAACUCUGAACAUGGCAGCUAUUACUAUCACUGUUUUGCAGAUAAGAAAACUGAGGUGCAGAGAGAUUAGUGACUUACCUCUUGCCUAGUUGGUAGCAAAGUCAGGGUUUGAACUCAGGUGUGUCUACUUCUGUUUUUCUAUUACUCUAUAUUCAGGAUCUAUGCUUCUCAUUUAAUACUUCAUCAUUACAAAAGGCUUUUGACUUUUCAAAUGUAGCAGACGAAAGACUUCUUUGCUUGAAGAUGGAAUAAGAAGUCACAGAUUCUGAGAAGAAAGAGCCAAUGGUCAUUGACUGGGGAGG